This 469-nucleotide ribosomal RNA is filed under the name uncultured bacterium. Its description in RNAcentral is "bacterial SSU rRNA". It matches the Rfam family "Bacterial small subunit ribosomal RNA", at positions 29 to 506 of the family's 1533-position model. The record is from RNAcentral.
ACGAACGCUGGCGGCGUGCUUAACACAUGCAAGUCGAACGAUGAUGCCCAGCUUGCUGGGUUGAUUAGUGGCGAACGGGUGAGUAACACGUGAGUAACCUGCCCCUGACUUCGGGAUAACGCUGGGAAACUGGUGCUAAUACCGGAUAUGACGCAUCCUCGCAUGGGGGUGUGUGGAAAGACUGUGUCGGUUGGGGAUGGGCUCGCGGCCUAUCAGCUUGUUGGUGGGGUGAUGGCCUACCAAGGCGUCGACGGGUAGCCGGCCUGAGAGGGUGACCGGCCACACUGGGACUGAGAUACGGCCCAGACUCCUACGGGAGGCAGCAGUGGGGAAUAUUGCACAAUGGGCGCAAGCCUGAUGCAGCGACGCCGCGUGAGGGAUGACGGCCUUCGGGUUGUAAACCUCUUUCAGUAGGGGAGAAGCCCUUCGGGGUGACGGUACCUGCAGAAGAAGCGCCGGCUAACUACGU